CAAUGGGGCGGCUACCAUGCAGUCGAGCGGAGAUGAGGUGCUUGCACCUUAUCUUAGCGGCGGACGGGUGAGUAAUGCUUAGGAAUCUGCCUAUUAGUGGGGGACAACAUUCCGAAAGGAAUGCUAAUACCGCAUACGUCCUACGGGAGAAAGCAGGGGAUCUUCGGACCUUGCGCUAAUAGAUGAGCCUAAGUCGGAUUAGCUAGUUGGUGGGGUAAAGGCCUACCAAGGCGACGAUCUGUAGCGGGUCUGAGAGGAUGAUCCGCCACACUGGGACUGAGACACGGCCCAGACUCCUACGGGAGGCAGCAGUGGGGAAUAUUGGACAAUGGGGGGAACCCUGAUCCAGCCAUGCCGCGUGUGUGAAGAAGGCCUUAUGGUUGUAAAGCACUUUAAGCGAGGAGGAGGCUACUGAGACUAAUACUCUUGGAUAGUGGACGUUACUCGCAGAAUAAGCACCGGCUAACUCUGUGCCAGCAGCCGCGGUAAUACAGAGGGUGCGAGCGUUAAUCGGAUUUACUGGGCGUAAAGCGUGCGUAGGCGGCUUUUUAAGUCGGAUGUGAAAUCCCCGAGCUUAACUUGGGAAUUGCAUUCGAUACUGGGAAGCUAGAGUAUGGGAGAGGAUGGUAGAAUUCCAGGUGUAGCGGUGAAAUGCGUAGAGAUCUGGAGGAAUACCGAUGGCGAAGGCAGCCAUCUGGCCUAAUACUGACGCUGAGGUACGAAAGCAUGGGGAGCAAACAGGAUUAGAUACCCUGGUAGUCCAUGCCGUAAACGAUGUCUACUAGCCGUUGGGGCCUUUGAGGCUUUAGUGGCGCAGCUAACGCGAUAAGUAGACCGCCUGGGGGAG
Molecule: ribosomal RNA, 847 nt
Filed under: Acinetobacter junii
Lineage: Bacteria; Pseudomonadati; Pseudomonadota; Gammaproteobacteria; Moraxellales; Moraxellaceae
Description: bacterial SSU rRNA
Rfam family: Bacterial small subunit ribosomal RNA
Source: RNAcentral